Molecule: ribosomal RNA, 496 nt
Filed under: uncultured bacterium
Lineage: Bacteria
Description: partial 16S ribosomal RNA
Rfam family: Bacterial small subunit ribosomal RNA
Source: RNAcentral
GAUGAACGCUGGCGGCGUGCCUAAUACAUGCAAGUCGAGCGAACAGACGAGGAGCUUGCUCCUCUGACGUUAGCGGCGGACGGGUGAGUAACACGUGGAUAACCUACCUAUAAGACUGGGAUAACUUCGGGAAACCGGAGCUAAUACCGGAUAAUAUAUUGAACCGCAUGGUUCAAUAGUGAAAGACGGUUUUGCUGUCACUUAUAGAUGGAUCCGCGCCGCAUUAGCUAGUUGGUAAGGUAACGGCUUACCAAGGCAACGAUGCGUAGCCGACCUGAGAGGGUGAUCGGCCACACUGGAACUGAGACACGGUCCAGACUCCUACGGGAGGCAGCAGUAGGGAAUCUUCCGCAAUGGGCGAAAGCCUGACGGAGCAACGCCGCGUGAGUGAUGAAGGUCUUCGGAUCGUAAAACUCUGUUAUUAGGGAAGAACAAAUGUGUAAGUAACUAUCCACGUCUUGACGGUACCUAAUCAGAAAACCACGGCUAACUACGU